CUUUUACCUUUUUAAUCAGGCCAGGAGGAACCAAGGCACAAAACUCUUCACGGGAGCAGGAUGAAAACUUGCACAUCAGCAAGGAGCUCCAGUACUCUGAGACAGAAAGGGCCUUGCCAGGAACAGCCUGAGAGGGCCCAAAAUCGGCCUCCACUGCAGGAAUUAGAGCUCUGCAUUCACUUAAGUGGAUCACAAAAGCUGCCAGUCCCAAAAUGUGAGCGGCACCGAGGGAAGGACCCUGCGAGGCAAAAAACGUGAAGAGCAGGAAAGAUAUUUUUGGUAACUUUGUAAUAUUUCAUUGGUAAAAUUCUUACCUUUUGA
This is a long non-coding RNA of Melospiza melodia melodia, 321 nucleotides long. RefSeq lists it as uncharacterized. The transcript is spliced from 2 exons. The record is from RefSeq and is a predicted model, not a curated record. NCBI's taxonomy places the organism in Eukaryota, Metazoa, Chordata, Aves, Passeriformes, Passerellidae.